Molecule: ribosomal RNA, 170 nt
Filed under: Garra sp. CBM:ZF:12698
Lineage: Eukaryota; Metazoa; Chordata; Actinopteri; Cypriniformes; Cyprinidae
Description: partial 12S rRNA
Source: RNAcentral
CACCGCGGUUAAACGAGAGGCCCUAGUUGAUAGCACACGGCGUAAAGGGUGGUUAAGAAUAUAUAGUAAAUAAAGCCAAAGGACCCCCCGGCCGUCAUACGCUUCUAGGCGUCCGAAACCCUAACACGAAGGUAGCUUUAAAUCCACCUGACCCCACGAAAGCUGAGAAA